Molecule: ribosomal RNA, 110 nt
Filed under: uncultured bacterium
Lineage: Bacteria
Description: partial 16S ribosomal RNA
Rfam family: Bacterial small subunit ribosomal RNA
Source: RNAcentral
CCCGGGCCUUGUACACGCCGCCCGUCACACCAUGGGAGUGGGUUGUACCAGAAGUAGGUAGAAUAACCGCAAGGGGUUCGCUUACCACGGUAUGGUUCAUGACUGGGGUG